AUGGAAACCCUACCUUAUGAGAUUCGUGAGGCGACGGAAGUACUGGACAAGGGUCUUCGUGCCAGAGCUCGGGAGGCCGAGCAGCAGAGCAGGACGCAGAGAUGCGGGACACGGCUUCCCAGCGCGGAGGAGGCCCGAAGCGAAGGCCCGGACGAUGCCUACCGGAUCCAGGAGAUUGCGGAGAAGCAGGCGAUGGAGAUGAUCCAAUGGUACUAUGAUAAGCUCAAGGAGAAGGAACCGGAUUCUUAUCAAGACUCGUCUGAUUAUGAAGUCUCGUCAUCGUCUGAUGACGAAGACUCGUGUGAGUCUGAUGAAGAUAGGUGUCGCCGUGACUGGAACCGUCUAUACGCCGGCGUGUUCGGCUCCUUCGAUGAUAUCACGUCUAUCCCAGCCAUGCGUUACACGGACAAACCUGCGCCUCCCAACUCCGCCUGGGAGGAUGACACUCUACAUAUCUUUUCAAUUGAAGUCAUGGGAAGAGAGCAGCAAAAAUUAGAGCGGCCGCUGGAUGUGUUUGGUAUGGUUGCUGCACGCGACUCGCUGGACCACAAUCGCAACAUUAUCUUCAGUCGUGAACGGGACAAUCCUCAGACCAUCAGUGAGGAGAGUCCCUAUCUAGAACUCACAGGCCCUACACGUGCUGUUGUGGUGUCGGAUCGUGCGGACUUUGAGGUUAAGCUGAAAGUGAAGGGCGCUAGUGAAUCCGAGGAUGAAUAUUUAAGCUGUGUUUCUAUUCCCUACAAGAUCUAUUCCAGACCCACUCGUUCACGCUUGGGUAAUAAGCUUGAGACUAGCAAGCUCACCACACUCAAGUUCACAUUUGGCUUCAUUGUCAACUCUGUGGAGGCCACGAUCAGCGUGAGGGUUAUCAGUGGAUCAUGGCCACAGAGUUCUCGAAGUUUAUUUACUGCCAGCACCGCCAGCAUAGAUCACAUGGAAGUCGGUUGCUCGAUUUCGGAGGCGACGGACUGCCUGUUGCCGCUGAUGGCAAGGUUCAGCUUUCACGCCGUGUUGCUUCCGUCGAGCUUGCUGGUGAGCUGA
Molecule: ribosomal RNA, 1041 nt
Filed under: Triticum aestivum (bread wheat)
Lineage: Eukaryota; Viridiplantae; Streptophyta; Magnoliopsida; Poales; Poaceae
Description: partial small subunit ribosomal RNA
Source: RNAcentral